CAUCUCCUACGGGGCGCAGCAGUGGGGGAUAUUGCACAAUGGGGGAAACCCUGAUGCAGCGACGCCGCGUGAGUGAAGAAGUAUUUCGGUAUGUAAAGCUCUAUCAGCAGGGAAGAUAAUGACGGUACCUGAGUAAGAAGCCCCGGCUAACUACGUGCCAGCAGCCGCGGUAAUACGUAGGGGGCAAGCGUUAUCCGGAUUUACUGGGUGUAAAGGGGGCGUAGACGGUAUGGCAAGUCUGAUGUGAAAACCCGGGGCUCAACCCCGGGACUGCAUUGGAAACUGUCGGACUAGAGUGUCGGAGG
Molecule: ribosomal RNA, 305 nt
Filed under: uncultured bacterium
Lineage: Bacteria
Description: bacterial SSU rRNA
Rfam family: Bacterial small subunit ribosomal RNA
Source: RNAcentral